UCACAAUCUCGAAUAAUGAUAACCUUAAGCUCAAAUACCACUUAAGUCAUAUUCUCUAAUAAUCAUAAUCUAAACUUUAUAUCAUUCUAUCACGUCCUUAAUGAUCAUAAUCUUAAGCUCUGAUGUUAUCCAUUAUACUCCACUCGGUCACAUCCUAUUGAUCAUACAUAAAAUUUUGAUAUCACUUUAUAAUCUCAAUGAUCUUAAACCUAAGCUCUGAUAUUAUUCUAUCAUAUCUUAAUCAUUUAUAUUAUUUAUAUCAUAAU
This 266-nucleotide long non-coding RNA is filed under the name Elaeis guineensis (African oil palm). RNAcentral describes it as "long non-coding RNA (EGUI_LNC014126)". Lineage: Eukaryota; Viridiplantae; Streptophyta; Magnoliopsida; Arecales; Arecaceae. The record is from RNAcentral.